CAGUCAUAUAAUUUGUGGAAGCAGAUAUGUCUGAAAUAUGGAACCUGCAGCAAGGAGAUGAGCCAGCUGGUUCAGGCUUCAGCACAGAGCGAGAGAGACUUCCAGUGUCUGUUGGCGUGUAUGUGCUAGAGAGUAUAUAUGUAUGUGUGUGUGUGUCUGCCGAGAGGAGAGAAGACUGCCUUCCAGCAGUGUGUGUGGGGGCAAUUGUGUUUCUUUGCUUGAGCUGGUGUGAGUGUGUGAGUUCUUUACUCCGAAUAGUAGAAGAAUGGC
Long non-coding RNA from Oncorhynchus tshawytscha (Chinook salmon), 270 nucleotides. NCBI's taxonomy places the organism in Eukaryota, Metazoa, Chordata, Actinopteri, Salmoniformes, Salmonidae. The record is from Ensembl.